Molecule: ribosomal RNA, 522 nt
Filed under: Nandinia binotata (African palm civet)
Lineage: Eukaryota; Metazoa; Chordata; Mammalia; Carnivora; Nandiniidae
Description: partial 16S ribosomal RNA
Rfam family: Bacterial large subunit ribosomal RNA
Source: RNAcentral
ACCUCUAGCAUUUCCAGUAUUAGAGGCACUGCCUGCCCAGUGACAUUAGUUAAACGGCCGCGGUAUCCUGACCGUGCAAAGGUAGCAUAAUCACUUGUUCUCUAAAUAGGGACUUGUAUGAACGGCCACACGAGGGUUUUACUGUCUCUUACUUCCAAUCCGUGAAAUUGACCUUUCCGUGAAGAGGCGGAAAUACACUAAUAAGACGAGAAGACCCUAUGGAGCUUUAAUUAACUGACUCAAGGAGAUUCAUCUAACCAACCAACAGGAACAAACAAACCUCCUCAUGAGUCAACAAUUUAGGUUGGGGUGACCUCGGAGAACAAAACAACCUCCGAGUGAUUAUAAAUCUAGACAAACCAGUCAAAAGUAUAACAUCACUUAUUGAUCCAAAAAUUUUGAUCAACGGAACAAGUUACCCUAGGGAUAACAGCGCAAUCCUAUUUUAGAGUCCAUAUCGACAAUAGGGUUUACGACCUCGAUGUUGGAUCAGGACAUCCCGAUGGUGCAGCAGCUAUCAAA